This 2533-nucleotide ribosomal RNA is filed under the name Escherichia coli. RNAcentral describes it as "partial 23S ribosomal RNA". It matches the Rfam family "Bacterial large subunit ribosomal RNA", at positions 405 to 2915 of the family's 2925-position model. Lineage: Bacteria; Pseudomonadati; Pseudomonadota; Gammaproteobacteria; Enterobacterales; Enterobacteriaceae. The record is from RNAcentral.
UCGAUGAGUAGGGCGGGACACGUGGUAUCCUGUCUGAAUAUGGGGGGACCAUCCUCCAAGGCUAAAUACUCCUGACUGACCGAUAGUGAACCAGUACCGUGAGGGAAAGGCGAAAAGAACCCCGGCGAGGGGAGUGAAAAAGAACCUGAAACCGUGUACGUACAAGCAGUGGGAGCCUCUUUUAUGGGGUGACUGCGUACCUUUUGUAUAAUGGGUCAGCGACUUAUAUUCUGUAGCAAGGUUAACCGAAUAGGGGAGCCGAAGGGAAACCGAGUCUUAACUGGGCGUUAAGUUGCAGGGUAUAGACCCGAAACCCGGUGAUCUAGCCAUGGGCAGGUUGAAGGUUGGGUAACACUAACUGGAGGACCGAACCGACUAAUGUUGAAAAAUUAGCGGAUGACUUGUGGCUGGGGGUGAAAGGCCAAUCAAACCGGGAGAUAGCUGGUUCUCCCCGAAAGCUAUUUAGGUAGCGCCUCGUGAAUUCAUCUCCGGGGGUAGAGCACUGUUUCGGCAAGGGGGUCAUCCCGACUUACCAACCCGAUGCAAACUGCGAAUACCGGAGAAUGUUAUCACGGGAGACACACGGCGGGUGCUAACGUCCGUCGUGAAGAGGGAAACAACCCAGACCGCCAGCUAAGGUCCCAAAGUCAUGGUUAAGUGGGAAACGAUGUGGGAAGGCCCAGACAGCCAGGAUGUUGGCUUAGAAGCAGCCAUCAUUUAAAGAAAGCGUAAUAGCUCACUGGUCGAGUCGGCCUGCGCGGAAGAUGUAACGGGGCUAAACCAUGCACCGAAGCUGCGGCAGCGACGCUUAUGCGUUGUUGGGUAGGGGAGCGUUCUGUAAGCCUGUGAAGGUGUACUGUGAGGUAUGCUGGAGGUAUCAGAAGUGCGAAUGCUGACAUAAGUAACGAUAAAGCGGGUGAAAAGCCCGCUCGCCGGAAGACCAAGGGUUCCUGUCCAACGUUAAUCGGGGCAGGGUGAGUCGACCCCUAAGGCGAGGCCGAAAGGCGUAGUCGAUGGGAAACAGGUUAAUAUUCCUGUACUUGGUGUUACUGCGAAGGGGGGACGGAGAAGGCUAUGUUGGCCGGGCGACGGUUGUCCCGGUUUAAGCGUGUAGGCUGGUUUUCCAGGCAAAUCCGGAAAAUCAAGGCUGAGGCGUGAUGACGAGGCACUACGGUGCUGAAGCAACAAAUGCCCUGCUUCCAGGAAAAGCCUCUAAGCAUCAGGUAACAUCAAAUCGUACCCCAAACCGACACAGGUGGUCAGGUAGAGAAUACCAAGGCGCUUGAGAGAACUCGGGUGAAGGAACUAGGCAAAAUGGUGCCGUAACUUCGGGAGAAGGCACGCUGAUAUGUAGGUGAAGCGACUUGCUCGUGGAGCUGAAAUCAGUCGAAGAUACCAGCUGGCUGCAACUGUUUAUUAAAAACACAGCACUGUGCAAACACGAAAGUGGACGUAUACGGUGUGACGCCUGCCCGGUGCCGGAAGGUUAAUUGAUGGGGUUAGCGGUAACGCGAAGCUCUUGAUCGAAGCCCCGGUAAACGGCGGCCGUAACUAUAACGGUCCUAAGGUAGCGAAAUUCCUUGUCGGGUAAGUUCCGACCUGCACGAAUGGCGUAAUGAUGGCCAGGCUGUCUCCACCCGAGACUCAGUGAAAUUGAACUCGCUGUGAAGAUGCAGUGUACCCGCGGCAAGACGGAAAGACCCCGUGAACCUUUACUAUAGCUUGACACUGAACAUUGAGCCUUGAUGUGUAGGAUAGGUGGGAGGCUUUGAAGUGUGGACGCCAGUCUGCAUGGAGCCGACCUUGAAAUACCACCCUUUAAUGUUUGAUGUUCUAACGUUGGCCCGUAAUCCGGGUUGCGGACAGUGUCUGGUGGGUAGUUUGACUGGGGCGGUCUCCUCCUAAAGAGUAACGGAGGAGCACGAAGGUUGGCUAAUCCUGGUCGGACAUCAGGAGGUUAGUGCAAUGGCAUAAGCCAGCUUGACUGCGAGCGUGACGGCGCGAGCAGGUGCGAAAGCAGGUCAUAGUGAUCCGGUGGUUCUGAAUGGAAGGGCCAUCGCUCAACGGAUAAAAGGUACUCCGGGGAUAACAGGCUGAUACCGCCCAAGAGUUCAUAUCGACGGCGGUGUUUGGCACCUCGAUGUCGGCUCAUCACAUCCUGGGGCUGAAGUAGGUCCCAAGGGUAUGGCUGUUCGCCAUUUAAAGUGGUACGCGAGCUGGGUUUAGAACGUCGUGAGACAGUUCGGUCCCUAUCUGCCGUGGGCGCUGGAGAACUGAGGGGGGCUGCUCCUAGUACGAGAGGACCGGAGUGGACGCAUCACUGGUGUUCGGGUUGUCAUGCCAAUGGCACUGCCCGGUAGCUAAAUGCGGAAGAGAUAAGUGCUGAAAGCAUCUAAGCACGAAACUUGCCCCGAGAUGAGUUCUCCCUGAGACUUUAAGUCUCCUGAAGGAACGUUGAAGACGACGACGUUGAUAGGCCGGGUGUGUAAGCGCAGCGAUGCGUUGAGCUAACCGGUACUAAUGAACCGUGAGG